Long non-coding RNA from Raphanus sativus (radish), 733 nucleotides. RefSeq lists it as uncharacterized. NCBI's taxonomy places the organism in Eukaryota, Viridiplantae, Streptophyta, Magnoliopsida, Brassicales, Brassicaceae. The transcript is spliced from 2 exons. The record is from RefSeq and is a predicted model, not a curated record.
UCAGGAUUAUAAUUUCCCUCUUUGGGAGAUGGUCUCAAAUCCAGUUGUUGAUUAUUAUUUUUCUUCUUUUUUCGUUUUCAGGCGACACUUAUGCCAACAACCGUGAACCAUCCCAGCGUCUUCUUGGCGAGCAGCUCGAUCCUCCGUGAUUGCUAAGCAACAGCAAAACGGAAACCUCUCGGGAGAGGCUACUACUACCACCUUGGUACCUUCUACCUCCAACUCUAAUCUGGAUUGAGUCAAAACCGAGCCUGUGAGACAGAUUCAUCUCAGCGAUUGGUUCCUGAUCAGAACGUGUGUCCUAACGAGAACAGUCUAUCAGGCAAGAGAAAAGAACUCGAGAAAGAGGUUAAUAAAUCUCAACAAAGAAGAAGAUUUGUGAAACGGAUCAAGAAGAAAAGGUGGUGGAGAAGAUGACGUCAUCUCUGACUUUGGAAGCUGUGGAGGAUGAAUGGUUGGUUUCGAACUCUUACAUUUGAGAAAGUUGCUGUAACUAAGAAGUAUAUCAAUAUGACCAUUACAACCAUUCAUCCUCCAUGAGACACAAACGCAUGAGACACAUCCAACAGCCUAAAGAAAAGUCACUUAUUCAUAUAACCUGUUUGUUGAUAUUCCUAAGAGAAUAGUAAAGUGAUGUUUUGCAUAGUUUCACGAACAUUUGUUUUCUUAAUGGUGUUAUUUUAGGAGUUGAAAUAUUUUUUUUCUAAUAAUGAGUUGUGAGUUGUCAACUGAA